AUGCAUGCUCACCUUUGGGCCGCCGAGGCAGAGGAGGAACUCGUGUUCUGGGAGGCAACUCGGGGUUGGGGAGAAGCCCGGCUCGGCUGGUGGGGGGCGGCGGAGGGCGAGGGCGGGUCGCCGGCGUGGCGGCGGCGGCGGGGGUCCUGCGGGAGGGAGGGGAGGGGAAUGGUGGUGGAGCUGGAUGUGUCGCUCGGGAGGGGACUAGACUGGGAUUUUAGCUGCUACUGCUCGAACAACCGGAAAGCUGAUGGACCGAAUGCACCCGUGGGAUCUGAGCCGUCGGAUGGAGAACAGAGGGGUCAGAUGCUACCAGGAGAUGGGAUUUGA
RNAcentral lists this ribosomal RNA (330 nucleotides) under Triticum aestivum (bread wheat). RNAcentral's name for it is "partial small subunit ribosomal RNA". Lineage: Eukaryota; Viridiplantae; Streptophyta; Magnoliopsida; Poales; Poaceae. The record is from RNAcentral.